Molecule: non-coding RNA, 67 nt
Organism: Dipodomys ordii (Ord's kangaroo rat)
Lineage: Eukaryota; Metazoa; Chordata; Mammalia; Rodentia; Heteromyidae
Source: Rfam
GGGAAGGUGGCUCAGUGGUAGAGCGCCUGCCUUGCAUGCUCGAGGCCCUGGGUUCGAUUCCUCAGCA